UGAGGAAUAUUGGACAAUGGACGAAAGUCUGAUCCAGCCACGCCGCGUGCAGGAUGAAGUCCCUUUGGGAUGUAAACUGCUUUUGUACAGGAAUAAAAAAUCGGUCGCCGAUAUUGAAGGUACUGUAAGAAUAAGCACCGGCUAACUACGUGCCAGCAGCCGCGGUAAUACGUAGGGUGCAAGCGUUGUCCGGAAUCAUUGGGUGUAAAGGGUGCGUAGGUGGGAUGGUAAGUCAGAGGUGAAAGCCCGCAGCUUAACUGCGGAACUGCCUUUGAUACUGCCGUUCUUGAGUCCCGGAGAGGUCACUGGAAUUCGUGGUGUAGCGGUGAAAUGCGUAGAUAUCACGAGGAAUACCAGAAGCGUAGGCGAGUGACUGGACGGGUACUGACACUGAGGCACG
RNAcentral lists this ribosomal RNA (400 nucleotides) under uncultured bacterium. Its description in RNAcentral is "bacterial SSU rRNA". It matches the Rfam family "Bacterial small subunit ribosomal RNA", at positions 355 to 755 of the family's 1533-position model. The record is from RNAcentral.